Long non-coding RNA from Lolium rigidum, 548 nucleotides. RefSeq lists it as uncharacterized. The record is from RefSeq and is a predicted model, not a curated record. Lineage: Eukaryota; Viridiplantae; Streptophyta; Magnoliopsida; Poales; Poaceae. The transcript is spliced from 3 exons.
UAUGACGUGUGUGGCGCUGCGGACGCGGUUGGCCUGACUGUCUGGUUCUGCCGCCGCAAUUUCAUCUUUCUUGGAGGCUACUUGUGUAGGAUAUUACCUAAGUUUGUCGGUCCGCGGGUGUCGUCGAAGCUGGCCAGAGGAAGGUUCUUGGUAGAGCUGGUUCUGCGGACUUCUUCGGUGGCUUUUCUGGCGGGUGUCCGUGUCCUCGACUAAGUACAGGCUGAGCUGCAACUAACGGCUAUAAAGGGGAGGGCAACAACGGUGGGAUGAGAUUUGGAGGGUGGCAAUGGCAGACGCGAGCAUGGAUCUGGUGCACGUAGGAGAAAUCUGGGAUGGGGCUCCGCUGAGAUUUAGGAAGAGGAGCCUGGUGAGCGGGCAGGUGGUCAGAGCAGGAAUGCCACACAUGAGCUUGAGUUGGACUGAUACUACUCGCUACUGCAUCUGCAAGGAGGUGGUGGCAAAUUCAAGGACGUAAAUAUUCAGGUAGCAAGCAAUGAUGCCGAAAUCAAGGAUGUAAAUAUUAUUUAGCUGCAAUAUAUUGAAAGGUA